GUCCAGCUGACGAGUACCAAAUAAGGCGGAAUGCGCAUCCUGGAU
This 45-nucleotide non-coding RNA is filed under the name Schistosoma mansoni. Lineage: Eukaryota; Metazoa; Platyhelminthes; Trematoda; Strigeidida; Schistosomatidae. The record is from RNAcentral.